RNAcentral lists this long non-coding RNA (800 nucleotides) under Nicotiana benthamiana. RNAcentral's name for it is "long non-coding RNA (NBEN_LNC030769)". The record is from RNAcentral. Lineage: Eukaryota; Viridiplantae; Streptophyta; Magnoliopsida; Solanales; Solanaceae.
AUCACCCUCCUCAUAUCUCCUUCUCCUGCUAUAACAAACAUCCAUCGACCACCCUGUCAUAACCGUUGACCACCGGCUGAGCACCCUACUACCGCCGCCGGAAAUCGCCUCACGGCGGCGGCCGGCAACCAAAAUGUCCCAAAUUAACAGCACUCAACCGUCAUGAACUCCUCUACUCCAUCCCAUAGCCAGUUUCCCUCGAAUAUAACCCCUCCAUCUCGAAUAUCCCCUGAAAGGUGGUCAGAAAUCCUACCUCCGUCGACCCCAUCACAAUGCCUUCCAUAUUUACACCACUAAGGCACCUCACCCUCCUCGUUCUAACCAUGCAUACUACCCCUCCCAAAUCAUCCUUAAAAUCCUCAAAUCUUAAUCCGAAGCUUAACCCUAAAUCCCAAAAUUCCCAAAAAUGGUUCAAACCUCUCUCGGGAAGUCCCCGAUCCCCAUUGACACUAACCAUGCCAUCCUUGAGUCUCAAACAACCCCCAACCACUCAAAAUUCCAAAUCUGAGACCUAUUGAGGUCUUAGAACUUUGAAAAAAUGUUCCCCUGAGCUUGUAAAUUGAUUGUAUACAGUCCGAGGAGGUUCAGAACCCAUGUGGAAGAAUCAAGGUCCGAUUGAAUUGUUUUAAAUGCGAACAAGAAUAAAAGCUAAGUUUUCCUGCCUAUUUUCCAUUUUUCUAUAGCUUUGAAUGUUGGAUUUCUUUUAAUGACUUAUUAGUAAUUGCAUGUUUAUUAAUUUGAGUUUCUUUUAUGUGAUUUUCUUUUGAUUGUUUGUCUUGAUUAUCCACAAGUUCUUCUGA